RNAcentral lists this ribosomal RNA (572 nucleotides) under uncultured Glomeromycotina. RNAcentral's name for it is "SSU rRNA". It matches the Rfam family "Eukaryotic small subunit ribosomal RNA", at positions 548 to 1114 of the family's 1831-position model. The record is from RNAcentral. Lineage: Eukaryota; Fungi; Glomeromycota.
UUGGAGGGCAAGUCUGGUGCCAGCAGCCGCGGUAAUUCCAGCUCCAAUAGCGUAUAUUAAAGUUGUUGCAGUUAAAAAGCUCGUAGUUGAAUUUCGGGAUUGACGUGAUGGUCGUGCCUUACGGGGUAUGAACUGUUGUUGUUGAUUUCUCACCUUCUGGAGAAACUUGAUGUCCUUAAUUGGGUGUCUUGCGGAUCCAGGACCUUUACCUUGAAAAAAUUAGAGUGUUUAGAGCAGGCAUUUUUGCUCGAAUACAUUAGCAUGGAAUAAUAGAAUAGGACGGCAUGGUUCUAUUUUGUUGGUUUCUAGGAUCACCGUAAUGAUUAAUAGGGAUAGUUGGGGGCAUUAGUAUUCAAUUGUCAGAGGUGAAAUUCUUGGAUUUAUUGAAGACUAACUACUGCGAAAGCAUUUGCCAAGGAUGUUUUCAUUAAUCAAGAACGAAAGUUAGGGGAUCGAAGACGAUCAGAUACCGUCGUAGUCUUAACCAUAAACUAUGCCGACUAGGAAUCAGACGAUGUUAAUUUUUUAAUGACUCGUUUGGCACCUUACGGGAAACCAAAGUGUUUGGGUUC